This is a long non-coding RNA of Hippocampus comes (tiger tail seahorse), 681 nucleotides long. RefSeq lists it as uncharacterized. Lineage: Eukaryota; Metazoa; Chordata; Actinopteri; Syngnathiformes; Syngnathidae. The transcript is spliced from 4 exons. The record is from RefSeq and is a predicted model, not a curated record.
CUUCCGGCCGCACCUCCCACUCCCCCGCUGCCCGGACUGUAGGUGCCGGGCUGGAACCCUCCUGCUCCUGGACCGACAAAGCCACCUGAGCCAGACAGAAGACAGGCAUCCUCCCAUACCUCCCUGAGCGAAGCCUCCACCACCAGGACCGAAUCCCGUGCCCGUGCCGCCUGGUCCGAAUCCAGUUCCGGCACCUGCGCCGAUUCCGGCCGCUUCUCCGGCUCCAACCGAGGUGAAGAAGAAGCGGCGAGCCCAGUGAGCGGGAGGGGACGACCGCUCGCGUUUCACUUGAGCGAGUUGCGGCGCCGAGGGCGACUCACCUCCUUGCAGCGAGGGUCCGCACAACGCCAGGACCACCAGCAGCAGCGCCGGCGGGCCCGCCGCGCCUCUCGGGUGCUGAAAGUGUCAAUCAAGUCCACCCGGGUCCGGCGGCGACCCGGCGUCGGGUUCAGGCUCAGCGGGGGCGGCGACAGGAAGCUGACAUGGGAUCGGACGCCAUUACGCAUGCUGGAAAGUCUCAUGAUUCAUGAGGAGCUUUAUUUGAGCAACAACAUCCAGCGCGCCGCGGGAGCUUAGCAACAUGCUAACAACAACAAUAAUAAGACUUCCAGAGUCGGACAAUAUUUGCAGCGACAACAUGACGCGAGGGCAGCCCCGUUGACACGGUCGCGCUUGACGAGC